RNAcentral lists this ribosomal RNA (459 nucleotides) under uncultured bacterium. Its description in RNAcentral is "partial 16S ribosomal RNA". It matches the Rfam family "Bacterial small subunit ribosomal RNA", at positions 338 to 795 of the family's 1533-position model. The record is from RNAcentral.
CCUACGGGUGGCAGCAGUGAGGAAUAUUGGUCAAUGGGCGCGAGCCUGAACCAGCCAAGUCGCGUGAGGGAAGACGGUCCUAUGGAUUGUAAACCUCUUUUGUCGGGGAGCAAAAGACGCCACGCGUGGCGUUCCGAGAGUACCCGAAGAAAAAGCAUCGGCUAACUCCGUGCCAGCAGCCGCGGUAAUACGGAGGAUGCGAGCGUUAUCCGGAUUUAUUGGGUUAAAAGGGUGCGCAGGCGGAAGAUCAAGUCAGCGGUAAAAUUGUGGGGCUCAACCACUUCGAGCCGUUGAAACUGGUUGUCUUGAGUGAGUGAGAAGUAUGCGGAAUGAGUGGUGUAGCGGUGAAAUGCAUAGAUAUCACGCAGAACUCCGAUUGCGAAGGCAGCAUACCGGCGAUCAACUGAAGCUCAUGCACGAAAGUGUGGGUAUCGAACAGGAGUAGAUACCCUAGUAGUC